UCCUGCUAAACCCCCAGCAUGUGCCUCCUGUAUUAACUGUAAUCGGAGUGAAGUUUUCGGGAUACAUAGUCUGUUCUGUUUGAAUAGAAAACCCUCUUCAAUUUUGAAUCCCGUUGGCUGUUCUCCAGCUUCAUAUUUUUUCCAGAUUUCAGAAAAAUCAUCAUCACAGUCAUACGAAGUUUUGAUAGCAUCAAACGCUGUUACUGUUGCCCUCAUGAUGGUGAGUACAGAUCUUCUUCUACUGAGUGCAUCAGCAACUGUGUUAUUCUUUCCAGCUUAGUGCUUG
Molecule: long non-coding RNA, 286 nt
Filed under: Zostera marina
Lineage: Eukaryota; Viridiplantae; Streptophyta; Magnoliopsida; Alismatales; Zosteraceae
Description: long non-coding RNA (ZMAR_LNC003780)
Source: RNAcentral